Molecule: transfer RNA, 72 nt
Filed under: Camelus bactrianus (Bactrian camel)
Lineage: Eukaryota; Metazoa; Chordata; Mammalia; Artiodactyla; Camelidae
Also listed under: 2 other names
Rfam family: tRNA
About the family: Transfer RNA (tRNA) molecules are approximately 80 nucleotides in length.
Source: Rfam by way of RNAcentral
AGAGAAAUAGCUCAGUGGCAGAGCCCACACUUAGCAUGCAGGAGGUCCUGGGUUCAAUCCCCAGUACCUCCA